GCGAAAUGCGAUAAUUAAUGUGAAUUGCAGAAUUCAGUGAAUCAUCGAGUCUUUGAACGCACAUUGCGCCCCCUGGUAUUCCGGGGGGCAUGCCUGUCCGAGCGUCAUUGCUGCCCUCAAGCACGGCUUGUGUGUUGGGCUUCCGUCCCUGGCAACGGGGACGGGCCCAAAAGGCAGUGGCGGCACCAUGUCUGGUCCUCGAGCGUAUGGGGCUUUGUCACCCGCUCCCGUAGGUCCAGCUGGCAGCUAGCCUCGCAACCAAUCUUUUUAACCAGGUUGACCUCGGAUCAGGUAGGGAUACCCGCUGAACUUAA
RNAcentral lists this unclassified non-coding RNA (314 nucleotides) under plant metagenome. Its description in RNAcentral is "partial contains 5.8S ribosomal RNA, internal transcribed spacer 2, and large subunit ribosomal RNA". The stretch from base 1 to 107 matches the Rfam family "5.8S ribosomal RNA", at positions 48 to 154 of the family's 154-position model. The record is from RNAcentral.